CCCCCCCCUUCGACCCCCGAAACAUUUUCCAAACCCCUUCCCUCCGCGCCUCUGCUCGUCCACCCCCAAAACACCCCAGCUCUUCAGGUCCAACCACUGGUCUCGGAGUGGAGGCUCCAUCCAGCGUAAAAUAAAACUGAAAUGGAAGAUAUUCAAAAUGAGAAACUUUACAUCUGUUUGAAGAGAGAUACGAUAAAAAGGAAUAAUGUGAUCAGCUUUAUAAAUCUCUGGGAAAAUAAUGAUACACAGUAUUAAUUAUCACAUAAUAUUACUAAACAAAGGUAAUGAAGUAAAUGAUGAUAUGCUUGCGACAGGUGUAUACUAUGAAAAUCGACAUAUUUUUAUUCAGAAUGGAAAAAAUGUCCAGCUUUAAAAAGAACCGUUUAGAAGUGCAUAUAUGUACAAGCAGGUGCUACUUCUGAAAUAUCACAUUUUUAAAAAAGAACAAAAACCAACAAGAAUUUUGUACAGCCACAGUGUUAUUUUGAAGACCAUCUUUUUUCAGACAGAUUUUCAACUUCCCCUCUUUGUACAAGUCUGGCCCCAUACAUAAAAAAAACUAAGACAUGUAAAUAAGGUGUUUCUAUGGAAACAGGGUAAAAAAAAACAUCAAGCAGUUAUUAAUCCAUGAUUAGCCUCCUUUAGAAGCCUUUGGAAUAGCAUCUUCUUUCUAAAGAACGUCUUGGGAAAGAAGUGUGGAUUAUCGGGAUAAUAUCUUCUCUCUGUGGAAUUUCGAACAACCAACAUCCCAGAAUCAACUAAAUCCUACAGGGGCAACGAAGGUUGGUAACGAUGCACUGAAUCAAUUGACGGGCAUAGAAAAGAAAACACUUCAUAACUAUCAGCACUUUCAUUCCACUGAAAUUCAACAAACCAGUUUGGCUCUUUAUCUCACCAUUCUGUUCUAAUGGUUGUUUGUUCACCUCAGUACAUGAAGAGCCCUACAUGUUGCAUUGAGGUUUGGCUUAACAAAUAAAGGUAUACAGGACUCUGUGCUUCGUGUGCCAACCUCCACCAUGGCGUAGACCGAGGGUAGGCUAGCUGUGUCACAGGUGCAGCAUGACUUCUUUCCCCAACCAGACACUACACCAGACCAACAGAGGUUCUGAUCAGUUCGCUGAUUGAUUACAGUCGGCGCUGCUGGUCUCCCGGGUCGGUUUAAGCAAAAGAAAGACAUGCCUGCAGCUCUCUGGGACUGGGGUUUGCAUUCCCAUGCCCUGGAUUAUGACAGCGGGCCCAUACUCAGUCCAAAAGGCAGCACCGGAACAUUAAACAAGCCCCAAGAGCUGGGCCCCCCUCCUCGGGUCAGGGGCCCAGGAUCCAAGCACAGAUGAGUUGGAUGCAAAAUAACUCUCCCCCCUCUCAAGCACUCAUACGCCCCACCACACACUGUGCCCUUCUGCGUCCGUUCUGUUAUGUCACGGACCUUGCCACAAGCUCCUUAGUCCAGCCAAGGAGUCUAGAGUUGGAUGGAUUUACGCCCAGAAAGUGUCGUGUGUUUGUAAUACCGGAAUAUUGUCCUAGGUCUUUGUAAUAUCGGAAUGAUCCUUGAUGUUCCUGAAGUGUACUUCACAACUUCGAUUGUGUAAACACUUGUGAACUUCACAAUCCCAAAACCAGAAAAAAAAUUGGCGGAAAGGUUUGACAAGAAGGUAGAAACGAAGUUUUAUAGUAAAAUCUGAAAAGAAAAAUGUAUAACAACGCAAAUUUGCCCUUUUUUCUUAAUGGCGGGUUGGAGUCGCCGUGGAUGCUGAUCAGAGUUUUCUCUCAGGGAGAUGCAGCUAAUGAAUAAUAUGUACACUAUUUUACCAGAUUUUAGUAGAGUAGAAUAAAGUAUAGUGAUCGACCCUGACACUUCCAAUGCCCAGAGAUUUUUUCUCAGAUCAUCUUACUGUGAGGCUUUGCUGCAGGUCAAAAAGUAUAGGACCCCUCUGCCCUAGAAUCUUGUUUCAAUAUCCCUUUGUUGAAUGACUCCAUAUUUGACCAAUAGGGGCUCACUAUUCAGGAUCACAGAUCCCACCUCGGUUCCAAUAAAUCCAGGAUAUCCCGGGGUUGCUCUUCAGCGGUGAGGUAACUGUCACAACGACGUCUUGGGUCUGUAGAACUAGUAUCAUCAUACUGAGGUCAGUGAGGUUGGCCUCCUCUGGUGCCAUCAGGUCGUACCGCCGUGCCAGGCUGAAGUGAUGGGAUGUUGGAUGCGGAGCAGAGCGAAUUAAAGCAAUCAACCCAGAUGGGGGAGGGACUACCUCCGCGGUGCUUUCCUGUAAUGUCUGACACCUUAAAUUCCCCGUACUUGAACUUUGAACCUCCAGUAGAAAUGGUGAUGUGGAAGGGCUCCUAGUUUGAGAUGUAGCAAAUUAUAAAGGAGGAGAAGCUUAUGAAGAACAAAAAAGAGGAGGAGCAUCUGAAGAACAAAAGGAGGAGGAGCUUAUGAAGAACAAAAGGAGGAGGAGGAAACUAGCGAAGUGGCAUCAAAAGUCUGACAAACACAGUCAACAUCCUACUGGAGAUGUCAGGCAGAGACAGGUGCUAUUUAUUCGCCCUUCUUCUCAGCCCAAAACCCUUCCUUUGGCUCCUGUGGAUCAGCCAUUCUGAAAUGAGGACUUGUAAAUGCAAAAAUGUAUGUUUCACUGGUAAUGGUAGUAUUUGAAUGAGUAUCAUCAUAGUGUUUUGGAUACCUUUCUUUUCCACCACAGGCCAUGACCAUUUUCAAACCCCUCUUUUUCUGUUUAUUGAGUCUAUUUUGAAGAAAAACAAUGUCCUCCUUCAACCUUUUAUCAGCCUAAGGAACAUAGGGACUGAAGAUCAGAAUGGCAACUGACCACACAGAUGACAUGACCUGAGUUGUCCCCCAGCUGCAGUCUAUACACAUCAACACUCCUCCGUCAUAGCAACGGCAUACAUCGACCCAGGUGGGUACCUCAUGGUCAAGUGCUUGGACCCCUACAAAUAUUUGGAGAGUUUUAUAUUCUGCAGAGAGUCUGUAUUUUUGUAUGGCGGGUGGGUGACCUCACUAUACCGUUUUGAACAGCGUCAAGCCAUACACCAUCUAACAGACGUUUCACCAGGCUAGUCCCGUUGUCAACCAAGAGAAGCGGGAUUUUCACAACACAAGGGUUUUCACAAGGACAGAUCUUCUACACAGACACUUGAGGUACUUUUAGCACCCAAUUCCUCAACUAUUUCUCUGUUGUUUAUUAGUGCAUUACUUCCAGCACCCUAAUCGUUGUGGAUUUCUCCGGUGUGUAUUUGACCUCUGGUUAACAGUCAUGAACUGCAUGGGGGACAAGGGGCCAAAAGUAAUGCACUACUGAGAGAAGAUUUCAGACCACCUCCCUUUAUAGGCCUUUCAAAGCGGAUGUGUGCUCCCACUCUCCAGCCAAACGUCAUUUCUAAUUCAUUUUGUAACAGUGGAACAUCUGCCAUCUCCCAAGUGUAGAGAAAUGUGUUGGGAUGAAUACUAACAAAAUACUUUUUUCUUUUUUUUUUCUUUAAACCCGUCGUAUUGGCUGCAAAGAGACCUGUCACAAAAAUUGCCAUGUCAGUACUUCCAAGUCAUUUUGAGUAACAAAACAAUAUGACAACUGACACAGUAUACAAACACGAUUUGUUACUCUGUCCAAAAGUUGAUAUGUUCAAUGGAAAUGUGCCAAAAAAUGACAUUUAGAUUCUAUUUAUAGUCUUAGUGUUGAGCAUCCCUUCUGAUGAUUCAUAUGUCAGACCGUUUCUCGCUGGGAUAAGAUUGUGACUUCAAUAUACAAGAUUCUCUGUACUAACGUCUGACAGAGGAGUCACUUGAGGUGCAUUUCUACUUUUGCUUCUCCAAAUAGUUUUUUCUUUGUGUGAUCAAAAUGUGCCAACACAAGAAUUGAAAAUGUUGGCGUGCAUUUGAAUUCAUUCAGCCAUUUAUUUUGACGUGCAUUAUGUGUUGAACGCUGCUUUCACUCUUUAUUUUGUUGCUUUGCUCUAGUUGUAAUGUUAUUUUAUAUCGUAAUGAGAUGCUGUGUUGUCUCUCGAUGUUAUGAAAAUGGAAUGUUUAUGCAAGAUUGUCACAGCGGGAGAGUUCAUUGUGACAAGACAUUGUCACGCACCGCUUUAACAAUGUUAGUGUUGUUGUUUUAAAGAAAAAAACUGAAAUAAAUAAAUUGAAUAUCA
Long non-coding RNA from Esox lucius (northern pike), 4155 nucleotides. RefSeq lists it as uncharacterized. The record is from RefSeq and is a predicted model, not a curated record. Lineage: Eukaryota; Metazoa; Chordata; Actinopteri; Esociformes; Esocidae. The transcript is spliced from 2 exons.